UAAUUAGUUAUCUUUCUUCACUGCAGACCGUUUGUUCUUCAUCGAUAAGAAAGAACCACUUGAAAAUGUGAUUCCCUAGAUACCAAACCUUCAAUGAAAUAGUAUAAAUAUCACAGAUAAGUAUCUAUAACAAAAGUUAGUUGAAAUCCGACCGCGUUCGAAUGAAAACUACAUCGUACUGCUUAAUUUGUUUGGGCUUAGUCUUUGCAGGAUUGACCAUUCCUAGCGUUCCCGUUCGCACUGGCAUCGAAAAUCUAGUAAUGGACCAAUGCACGUGUUCACUAUUUGACGUUUUAGCGGUGCCGUGUUAUUUAUGUGACCAUGGAGACCAGUGAAUUAGGCACCGCUCAAACGUCAAAUUCGUGAACUCGUGCAUCGGUCCAUACCAGCAGAGAGCCUGAGUUCAUCACGUGAUGAAUUUGUCACCGAUCAAACACUAGAUCCAACGGAAGUUAAACCUCAAAAGCGAUGCUGUAUCGUUUGUUUCUGGUGUAUUUCGUGGCACGGCUAAGCUGUUGAUGGAAAUAGUAGCUAAAAUUUGGCGAAGCUUAUCAUUAUGUCAGAUGUCAGUUAUAAAGGUGAUCAAAAAGUACGGCUGUUGUACAUUAAUUCGGUGCAUGAAUGGUUAGGGUGCAUAGGCAGAAAGUGUGUAUUUUGCUGAUGUUUAAAAAUAUAUCAUUAUAAACUCAAGAAUUUUCAUUGCCUUUAGAAUUGUGUAUUUAUCAUCUAAAAGUGUAUUGUUGUUUAUGUGUUAAUCAUCUGAUCAAGAAAUAAAAAAAAAACAUAAAUAA
Molecule: long non-coding RNA, 791 nt
Organism: Aedes aegypti (yellow fever mosquito)
Lineage: Eukaryota; Metazoa; Arthropoda; Insecta; Diptera; Culicidae
Exons: 2
Source: RefSeq, a predicted model, not a curated record